Molecule: small RNA, 3239 nt
Filed under: Rattus norvegicus (Norway rat)
Lineage: Eukaryota; Metazoa; Chordata; Mammalia; Rodentia; Muridae
Description: uncharacterized LOC103692704
Source: RNAcentral
GUGUCUGUCUGAGUCUGUGUGUGUGUGGUAUUUAUCUAUGUGUGCAUACAUGUGUUUAUGUGUACACAACCCCAUUUUCUAAAGGGAAAGCACAUGUCAGCACACAGAUGGACCCUUCUCUUACUCAUAGCACAAGCCCAAAGGAUUUUCCUGGUCCACACUAAGGAACUUCUCCAUUAUUUAAAUAUAUUCUUCAAAUGCUUGUUGCUUUUACCUCUCCCCAGGAUUAAUUAUCCAGCAUCCUCUAUAAGACAGAGUAUCUUAAUAAUACAAAGUGCCUGAGAAGGAAAGAAAAAUAAAUAAAUAAAAAACCCUGCCAGUUCUUCUUCCCCAAAUUGCAAGCUACAACAGUCUAUUUCUUGUGUAACAGCUCCCCCUGACUUCUCCAUCCCUCAGCUUCAGAGGCAAGGAAUUCUACCAGGGACAGGGACUCUGGUCUUUUCAAAACAGCACUGCUGUUAUGAACCAACACAGAGCACAGGUGGGUGGUAAAAGCCCAAGAGCCCACCACCAAGAGUAUGUAGACAUCCAGAUGUGGGUAGGAGCCCAUAGUCGCGAGAAGAGCCCUUGAUCCAGGCAACGAAGGCCAGGUCUGGUCAGAGCUAAAGAGACAACAGAUUCCCUGGUGGGCAAAGGAGGGGACCCAGUGUCCUCUUUACUCAGAAGCUCCAAGCUCUUCAAUACUGCUAAGUGCCCAAAACCAGAACCCACUGCCCAACCCAGGGGACAUGAGCUGUACCCAAGACCCUAAGCACACUGUGUAAGUCUUCACACUUGCUGAAGGUCUGAGCCCAUAUCCCCGAAACAGAAAAGGAAGCCUCCACGUAGGCCCAGUACAGCCAAGGCAAUGAAAUGGUAUCCCAUUGCCCAUGUGUUUAGAGUCACAGUCAUAGCUCCAGACCCCUACCAACCUGCUUCAAGACCUAAGCCAUAACCUCCCUUCCCUGCCCUCAGGGACACAUGUCCCUGGCCUAGGGCAAGAGGUUGAUACAGCUGUUGUUGGCCUACCAUAGAACAGAUCAUAAAGAACCAGAGAGCCUGGAGUUUCCAGAAGAUUCCAGAAGGUAAGAUCUGUAUUCCACUGACCUAUAAUCUGGGGUGUUCCAGGCCAGCACAGAAUAUACUGUUGACCCAAAUACUAGUGACCCAAAAUAAAGUGAAGCAGGAGCUAUAGAAGAUGCAGGCCCCUCCUAGAGCAUACAUGACCAUACAGGGACAUAGGCUCAGCUAGCUCCGGUAGGCGUGGAGAAGGCAGAACACUGUGGCAAGGCAGACCAGAAGGGACACAUGCCACCCCAGGAUCCCCAACAUAAGGCCUAAGAAUACUUAGUCCCUUGGGCAGGCGGCCAGGGGUCUGUGCCAAAAAGUCUAUCUACCCUCAAGCAAGAGCUGGGCCAGCUCUGAAGAAGGUCAGGAGAUCACAGUGGUCAGUAAACAGCAACCUACCCAACACCAGGCAGAGACGAGGAAGUCUAGGGCUCAGAGAGGUGACAUGAUGAACCAAAGACCACACAGCUGGAAACCGCUGGAUCGUGACUAAAGGAUUGUUCCCUGGGAGGUGAGAAACCUACCCUUACCUCAGAGCAGAGCUUCUCAACCUUCCCGAUACUGCGAUCUUUCAAUACAGUCCCUCAUGUUAUGGUGACCCCCCCACCAAAUUAUUUCAUUGUUACUUCAUAACUGUAAUCUUGGUAGUUACGAAUCAUAAUGUGAACAUCUGAUAUGAGACCUCCGGCACAACCCACAAGUUGAGGACCCCCAGUCCAGAGCAAUGCGUCUGCUUUUAGAUGGUACCCGUGGGUCGGCUGGACCUCCCCUCUGCAUUCUGUCCAGAAGAAAGAGCAUCGCUGUUGAUGACAAGUCUCAGGACUCUCCUUCCUUGAACUCUAUGCCCUGGCGUCUCCUCCACAGUGCUCUGUGGGGUGGAAGAGGCCUCUGUCCCCAUGACAGAGGCUCUGGCUCUCAGCUGACCCCCUGACAUCCAUGCUGCCCAGCACAGCAUGUUGCUCCCUGUGCCAGGACCUACACACAGACAAAGGUCCCCAGUGGAUACCAGGGAGAAGGGACAGCUUCAACCACACAUUCCAGAGACCCUUGCUAGGCCUUACACGAGAUCCUUUCCUCAAACUGAGAAGACACCCGACAUUGAUUAGAGGAGUUUAUCUUGGCUCACGGUCAAAGGCAAUCAGUCCACCAUGGUAGAAAAGCAUGGAGAUGUCUCACUCAGUCGGGAAGCAGAGAGGAAUGUGGCUCUCCGCCCCUGUCUCCUGUUUCAUUCACUCCAAAGUCCCAGCCCACAGAACGGUGUUCCCAAAUUCUAGGUAGGUCUUCCCUCCUAACUGAACCCUCUCUGAAAACACUCUUAGGCACACCCAAAUGUGUGUCUCCUUGGCGACAGCAAGCAUGGUCUGGAUGACCAGUGCAAACCAUCCCACCUUGUGAUCCCUUUCAUCAAGGAGGAAACUCGGGGGGACGUUUUAUUGUUAUUUUUCCCUCUGUGGUGAACUCAUCCAGAAAGGAGGUUCAGGGUCUCUGCUGACCACCUGCUGGAGUUUCCGUCAGAGAAAGCUAUGGGUGGUGAUUCAGAGAUCUUCCCAAAGCAUACCUCAAGAUAGAGAAGAGAACAAACCCAGGCCCACACCAGAAGACAGCAAUAUUAACAGCUCCAUCCUAGGAGGGAGCCUAAGGGGGCACCAGGGGAAGACCAGGGGCUCACUAGUCAGAAGGGUAAAGGUCACUUAGCUCAAGAGGCCUGAGGAGAAGGGAGAGGUUGCCUCUUAGCUACUGGAACCCAAGUCUAUCAGCACUUCCGGGCGAAGGGUGACUGAGCCUACUGACAUGGUAUAUAACCAGGUUGAAGGUAACCAUAGGUCUAGAGCUUAUCUAGAGACAAGCCUGAGUCUCUCCAUGUUGGCCCUGGGCUCUGUUAGGGAAGAAGACAGCCUAGAGCCUCUAAUGCACCACCAAGCCAGCCCCUCCCACCCAAGCGCUCUGGGGAAAGGACAGCUGCUAAGAAGCCAUUUCCACGCAGGGCCAGCUCCCAAUCACCUCCACCCUCGCUGGCCAAUGUCCGCCCGGCUCUGACAGGAUAAAUAGCAGCUUCUUCAAGCCUCUACGAUGCCAGGGAAGGCAUGAGGCUGAGUUUAGCCAUGUGUUAUCUCAUGAACCCCCUCCCAGGCCCUGUUCUUGUAUCUGCAGCCUUAGAGGGCACAGGCUCAGCCCCGAUAGAGAAGCGUCUA